Molecule: ribosomal RNA, 253 nt
Filed under: uncultured bacterium
Lineage: Bacteria
Description: partial 16S ribosomal RNA
Rfam family: Bacterial small subunit ribosomal RNA
Source: RNAcentral
UACGUAGGGGGCAAGCGUUGUCCGGAAUCAUUGGGCGUAAAGCGCGUGUAGGCGGUUCGGUAAGUCGGCUGUGAAAGUCCAGGGCUCAACCCUGGGAUGCCGGUCGAUACUGCCGGACUAGAGUUCGGAAGAGGCGAGUGGAAUUCCCGGUGUAGCGGUGAAAUGCGCAGAUAUCGGGAGGAACACCAAUGGCGAAAGCAGCUCGCUGGGACGUUACUGACGCUGAGGCACGAAAGCGUGGGGAGCAAACAGG